GUGAUUGAUCAAAAUAGAGAAUAAUUUCUGAUUUACCAUACAUGUUGCAUUUUUCAUUUAAUAUGGAACCCUGCUCAAACUUUCUUCUCAAACUUGCUGCAGCUACUUCAAAUUAACCACAAUCAUAUCCUGUGCAUAUAAGAGAAGAACAAAAACAUCAUGGUUUUUCCAUUUAUCGCACCUGUACAAAACCGGACGUUUUCAUAGAUCUAAACAGACUGCAGAAUCUAAAAGCCAUUAUUAUAAAGUGAUAUUACACUUACCAAAAUGCCAAAGUUUUGGAGGAAAAUAAAAACAGCCAGGAAUAAAUAUGAGUGGUAUCCUCUGGUGAAAGACAUGCAAGCCUCCAAUGCAGGAGAACAGGAAAGCACAGUCGACUCUGCGAUGCCAUCUGGAUCAGGUAUCGAAGUGAGUGGCGAGACAGGGCUUAAUAUUCUCAGAACAAUUCUGAGUAAACAAUCAAACCUUGAGGACGCAGACAUUGCAGCUGCAAUGCCGAAAAUCAGCUUCUCUCAAGAAUGGCACCAAAGUACUUUCAAGAAAUAGAUCAGUUUGUGGAGAACCACUUACCCUCGCUGCCACCAGAGGGAUCUCAAGUAAAGCAGAUGCAGGACUUUCUAAAGAGCGCACAGAGUAUUAUAUGCAAUGAGGUGCGCAGAUUAACACCUUUACUGAAAAAUGCUGGACUGCUAGUUCAUCUGAAGGACAGUUACAGCCGUCACCUCUUUACCAACCUGGACCUGCUACUAAACAGAGAUCUGUCUGUAAAACAGAUCUUCUGCCUUAUUAUGUGGGAAAAAGAUGUUUUCUUCAGUCCAGACUCAAAACUGAGUGUGUACGACCCUUCGCUGCUGACAGGAAGGUUUGAGAGAGCAAAGCAGAAACUGCUUCAAGUACUUCAGGUAGGACUUUAUGGUAUCCACCUUGUUUUUUAACAGCAUGGCCACUUAAAUGUGCGAGGCUUCCGCUGUCAUCCACUUCUAGUUAUUUUAGCUGUACAAAAUCAGUCUGUUCUGGUGCUUGAUAUUGCAAACUGCUAUUUGUUAUGGUGUAAUUUAAAUGUAUUAUCGUAAUAAUAAAUACACUGGUUUGUAGUGCAAAUAGUUUUACAAUUUCUGCACUUUACACUUAAAAAAAUGCUGGGUCAAAACAACCCAGUGCUGGGUGAAAUAUGGACAAGCCCAGCAAUUUGGUUGUUUUGACCCAGCAGUUUGGUUAAAUGUUUAACCCAACCUUCUGGGUAGUAACCCAACCGCUGGGUCAAAACAAUCCAGUUGCUGGGUUUGUCCAAUUUUACCCAGCACUGGGUUGCAUUUAACCCAGCAUUUUUUAGAGUAUAUACAAUAGCAAUUAAUGAAACGGAAGUCUUGUACAUUCACAGAAAAGAUUGCGUUGCAAAAAAAAGGUGGGUAUGACUUUCUGUUAUUUGAAUUCUUUGACUCUCAUUACUGACUAAUGCAUGAAAGGACCCAAAACAUGCACAUGAGGUGUAACACACUUGUAUCUCUGCCCAACUUAAACUGCCAAAGGAUGACAUCUCCAAGACUCUACAGAACAUCCUACACUAUGAUGAGAAACAUGGACAUAAUGAGGACUCAAUGGAUGAAGAAACUUUCAUCAGAGUUCACUUAGAUGUCACUCAGGUAGCUCUUAGAGAGAGAGAGAGAGAGAGAGAGAGAGAGAGAGACAGAAAGUGAAGAAAGACUUCAAGGUUUUAUUUUUAAUGCUCACUUAUUUCAUGUUUUUGCCUUCACAGUGCCUGAACUAUGCUAUUUUUGAUGCUAAAAAAGUUGGUCUGACUUUGAUGCAUGCAGUACAAAUACUCUGUAGUGGAGAGCUGCAUGGUUUUGUUCAGAAGUAGGAUUCUCCUCAUAUUAUUAUCUAGUAUCCUUAUAUUCAUUUAAGUGUAUGGUUGCUGGAGAGGGAAGGUUUGUAAUCCUGUACUUAAUAUAAAUAUGUUUUCUUAGGUAUGUGGAUGCUAAGAACAAACGUCUAUAAAAAACAAACGUUUACAGAGACAAACUCUGUGUAUCUGUUUCGGAUAAUCAACACCUGCAUGCAACUCAGGUAUUUAUUAAUGAUGAUUAAGUAAUGAACUAAUACAUGGCUGUUACAGAAACUGUAUCAGUGUAUAAUUAAAUCUGGACUAAUUGAAGAAUAAGACAUAUUUGUCACCCUUGAUUUAUUCAAGUGGCAGUAUAAUUGUGGAGAUAUUAAGAUGACUAAUAUUUGGCUGUCAUAUUUGACUAAAACAGUGGUUGCCUUUUUUCCAGGGCACCCUUAUUUUAACAGUCAACCUUUUUGAAUCAAUGAAUCAGUGACAUUAACAAUGAUGGCAGAAGAUUUUUAAAUGAAAAAAUAACGUUGGUUGAGUGAGUUUAACGAAAUUUCAACCAAGGGGGGCCUUUAAUUGGUCCGUGCCCAGGGCACCGCUGUGUCAUAAUCCGUCCCUGACUUACCGUCUGGAAUUUCAUCAUGGUUUGCUGCAACUGUUUCUAUUUAUAACCCUCAAACUGGAACGAGCUCAGCGACUCCUAGUGGUGUCACGACCCGGGGUUGGGAACCACUGGGGAAAAUCCUUGUGUAGAAUAAAACAGCUUUUCUAGGUCACUGUUAUAACUAGAGUCACUAUACGGUGAGUGUAUUAUUUUAAAAAUAUUUGUGCUAAGUUGUCCUUUUCCUAUCUGGAAUGAAAAUAUUUUACCUGUAGAUGUUGUGCUACACAAAUCAGUCCAAAUACAAACAGCAGAGAUGUCUCCUCAAGCACUAUAUGCAUGCUACAGAAACUGGAAGACAAUGCUUCAUCCAUUGUACGAAAGCUCAUGAAAUGCUUAGCACAGGUAGGCUAUGUUUUGAUUUCUUCAACAUCUGUGUUUAUGAUAAUCACUGAAAAAAAUGAUUCAUUGAAUUUACUAAAUUUUUUUAUGGUAAGUGGUUGCAGUCAAUUUAUUUUAUCUAUAUUUAAAUAAAUUUAGCUGAUUAACUUUCAGCAAAAAAAAAAUUAUUUAAAUGUAGCUAAAAUAAAUUGAUUGCAACCACUUACCAUAAAUUUUUUUUGUAAAUUCAAUUAAUCAUUUUUUUCAGUGAUGUGUUCAGAGGACAAGACCACAGUUGUGCAAGUGAAAUUAAGUAUUUGAGUCCACAGAAUUGUGAAAUCAAUACAAUCUUACUAGGAUUAUUUUAGCUGCAUCCAUUCAUAUCAGACUGUCUCUCUGGGCUACUGAUCUAAACAACAAGAAUACUGUAACCUUUCCUAACACAUUUAAUAUCAAACUUACAGUCCUGUUUCUCUUUGAAUGUUCAUUUGUAGGCCAAUUUAGAAGGUUAUUUUGAGAAAAGAGAUGGGCAUAUUGAUAUCCUGAUGGAGGCAAUCCAAAGGCAGUGUGCAUCUCUGCCUGAGACUGCUUCAGAGAUCAAAACGGUUUGCGCAGAGUAUGACCUUAAAACCAAUCAUAAAGAUUCUAGAUUCAUAUCUCACCCUCGGCCUCUCUUACAAUCUCUAGGUCAUUGUGAAAAUAGCUUACGACAGUGUUUCCAAAGUGUACCUGGAAUGCUUGAUGAAGACAAAUGUCAGAAAGCUAGAGAUGCUUUGGGGAAAUGCUGAGGAAAAGAUAAAAGAGGAUGUUCAACAUUUUCACCAAAUAUUCUCUGACCUGAAUGGCAUUGCUGCCCAGGAGAGCUCCUUCAGAGAAUGAGUGUUUUGCUUUACAGUCAUGUAAAAACGAAGGACGUUACCAAUGCUUUGUUCAAAGACUUCCCUCAGGAGAGUGAGCAGUAUGUACCUGGUCUGCUGCGCUGGAAGGGUGUGUUAUCAGAGCAACAGGUGAAGGAAGUGCUGGAUGAGAUUCGGGAACCCUGCCAAAAUCCAGAUCCUACACAUGUCACCUGUUUUCUUCUGAAGGGACUUUUUUGUUGUAAAUAGCUUGAGGUCAGAGGGGAACAGACAUCUGAAUACAGUUCACAGCAGUCCGGAGUUCCUGAUCUCAUCGCUCUAGAUGUUGAAGCGAGUAACAAGAGAGUGCUUAAUAUUCUCAGAAUGAUUCUGAGUGACCAAUCAACCCCUGAGGACUUUGACACUGCAGCUGAGGUGCUGAAAACAUGGAGCAAACUGAACAACAGCUUCUCUCAAGACUGGCUUUGUGAGUACCUUCAGGAAAUAGAUCAGUUUGUUGAGAAAAACUUUCCCUCGCUGCCAGCAGAGGGACCACAAGGAUCUCAGUUAGAGCAGAUGCAAGAAUUUCUAAACAGUGCACAGAGUGUUAUAUAUGAUGAGGUGUGUCGAUUAACACCUUUACUGAAAGAUGCUGGACUGCUAGUUCAUCUGAUGGACAGUUACAGCCAUCACCUCUUUACCAACCUGGACCUGCUCCUAAACAGAGAUCUUUCAGCGAAUGAAAUUUUCUGCCUUCUAAUGUGGGGAAAAAAUGUUUUCUUCAGUCCAGACUCACAGCAUUUCUUCAGAGUGUACGACCCUCUGCUGUUGACAGGUUGGUUUGAGAGAGCAACAAGGAAGCUGCUGCCAAAACUGGAGGAUGACAUCUCCACGACUCUACAGAACAUCCGACACUAUGAUGAGGAACAUGGACAUAAUGAGGACUCAAUGGAUGAAGAAACUUUCAUCAGAGUUCACUUAGAUGUCACCCAGUGUCUGAAUGCUGUUAUUAACAAUUCUAAAGAAUUUAGUAACACCCUGAUGUGUACAGCACAGACGCUCUGCCUUAAAGAGCUUCAUCAUUUUGUUCAGGAGUAUGCACAUGCACAGAAAAAAUGUCUGGGAAAACAGAAACCCCUGAACUCAAAAUAUGUGCAUCUGUUUCGGCUCAUCAGCACCAGUAGGCAACUCAGAUUUUUUGCUGAUCGACUCAACAAUCCGGAUAUUAACAACAGUAACGACCUCUCAAACAUCAUCUGCAUGUUAGAGGAGCUGGAAGAUCACGUUCUGUCAAUUGUACAGAAGAUGAUGAAACACUUAGCGCAGGGCUAUUUGAGAAAAUAUUUCAAAAAAGAAGGUGAGCAAAUUCAAAUGCUGACAGAGGGCAUUCAAAAGCGGUGUGCAUCUCUGCCUCAGGCUCAUGUGGGAAAAGAGAUUCAGGAGAUCUUUGUAAAUGUAGCCUAUGACUGCAUUUCACACGUAUAUCUGGAUUGCCUGAUGAAGAGCAAGUUCAAGCGGCUAGAGAAGAGAUGGGGAAAUGUCGGAGAAAGGAUGAGAGAGGAUGCUCUCAGUUUUCACAACACAUUUACUGAACUGAAUGGCAGUGAUGACCAGAGGUACCAUCUCCUUCAGAGAAUGAGUGAAGUUUUGCUCUGCAGUGAUGUAGAUGCACUGAAGAUUACCUGUUGUGAUUUGUUCAGGGAUUUCCCUCAAGACAGUGAGCAGUAUGUACCUGGUCUGCUGCGCUGGAAAGGUGUGUUAUCAGAGCGACAGGUGAAGGAAGUGCUGACUGUGAGCCGGGAUCUCGUUCUGGAUCUAAAGCCUAGACGUGUCACAUGUCAGCGUCUGAAGGGGCUUUGCUGUUGUCUUUGAUAUGAAUAGCAACAUCAGCCAGAUUUGUGAAACCUCUGUUUACAAGUUUAAAUUGAUGACAUGACUUUUGUGAACAUUAGUGAACAUUAGUUGUUUAUACAGGUACAUUUAUAUUUUAAUCAGAUACAAUAUUUUUGUACCUUUUAACCUUUUGAUUUUACUUGAAAAUAGGAAAUCAUGUUUCUAUCUGACCACCGGGAAAAAAAUGAAAUUACCCUUUUUGGUAUGUCUUUUCUAUGAUAGUAUAAUUAAUUAAGUUUAAAAAAUUAAGUAAAAUUUAAAUAUGGAAUUACCUAAAGUUGACUUAAGUUAUGUGAAAUUCGCAAAGGAAAUAAGUCAAUUUAACAUAGCUAUUUAGAGUUUGAUGAGUAAUUUCUUCUUAAUUAUUGCAAUACUCAAGUACUUUUCACUCAAUCAUAGUUUGUAAACUUCAUUCAAACAAUGUAGCACUGAAAAAAAAGAACUAUGCUAUUAAAGCAUGUGGUUCAUUUACAAACAUGUAAGCAAGCAAACCGCUUUUUAUCCUUUUUAAGAUGAUAUGUUUACACAAUAUAGUUUUUACCCAAAUGAGCAACAGUUACUAAAUCUAACAACAAAAGCAACAAGAAAACAGUGUAAAUAGAACUCGAAAACAUAAUUACUUAUUCCCCAGUGCAUGAAUCUUUGUAAACAUAACAAACAAUUCCAAGUAAAAUAUACUUAUAAGUUCAAACUUUAAUUUCUACAAGUUUAAAUUGGAUACUAAUAUAGAACUUACUCUUUUUUAAUUCUUGCCUGAACUAAACAUUUGUUUUUCCGUAGUAUUUACUAUUCAUUUUUAUCAGUGAGGAUGGUAACCACAUGUCCAUUUAUUUCUUAAAUUAUUGUUAAAUUAUUGUUGUAAUAUUUAAUAUUUAUAUUGGUUGUAUUUUCUUUUAUUUAUUCUUAUUUGAAAAUAGGACACAGUAUUUCUUUUAUGUAAGAUUAUUUUAUCAUACAAGAGUCAGUGGUACUAUAACAAGUAACUUUAAAAGUAUAACAAGUGACUUUGGUACCUCAAUAAAGACAUAAAUGACAUUU
This is a long non-coding RNA of Cyprinus carpio carpio, 6583 nucleotides long. Lineage: Eukaryota; Metazoa; Chordata; Actinopteri; Cypriniformes; Cyprinidae. The record is from Ensembl.